Molecule: long non-coding RNA, 760 nt
Organism: Dermacentor albipictus
Lineage: Eukaryota; Metazoa; Arthropoda; Arachnida; Ixodida; Ixodidae
Source: RefSeq, a predicted model, not a curated record
UGCUCUUUUCAACGCCAGCAUUGAAAACACAUGAUGUACUGCCUUAUGUCAGUGCUGCAGCGCAGCUUUUGUGCCACCUCCUUCGAGAGAUGGCGCCACGCUGUGUGACCAGGCCAGCAGUGUCCAGCGCGCCACGGAUGGUUGUUUCUGCCUGUAGGUUUGUGGCACACUUCAAUGAACGUCCUUGACACCACCUUUUGAAUAUAGUGGAAUCAAACCCGUCACAAGGGUUCCUCAAGGACAGCAACCCGAUGAAUUAGCAGGCAGCGCAACAAACGCACUGGGUGUUGAAUAAAUACCAAAAAUGAGAACACUUCAAGAUAGAGCCCAUUGUUUGGUGUGAAUGCACACUGGGCCAAAUUGCUUAACAAGUAUUUACCCAACAAAUGGGACAAUUGCUAGUAAAAAGCAUGUCCAACACAGCAAAAUGAAUGAGGAAUACUCGCUACGAGCCAACCAAGCACAAUGGAGGCACUACAGCUCAAGACAUAGCAACUUGAACAAUGGGCUCUCAAGACAACGGCUCGUCAAACAAAGGCGCCCACUCAGCUGUGACACACCUCGAGUCUCGCGUCAGCGAGCAGGAUAGCCUGCUGCAAGAUAGCGUGCCGAAAACAGACAGGACGGGCAGCUGGGGCAAAGCCAGGAUGGCCCACUUGGAGAAGGAGACACACUGGACGGCUGUGUUCAUGCGCCAGAUGGAGAGCUCCAGGGAGCCGUCGUCCACCCGCUCGGCCACCACACUGAUCAACGGGGGCCA